AGAUUACAAUGAUGGAGGAGGGGGAGCAGGGGGGUUAUGAGUAAUUAGAUUACAAUGAUGGAGGAGGGGGAGCAGGCGGUUAUGGGUAAUUAGAUUACAAUGAUGGAGGAGGGGAGCAGGGGUUAUGGGUAAUUAGAUUCCAAAUGAUGAGAGGGGGUUAUGGGUAAUUAGAUUCCAAUGAUGAGGGGAGCAGGAGGUUUAUGAGUAAUGAUUCCAAUGAUGGAGGAGGGGAGCGGGUAAUUAGAUUCCAAUGAUGGAGGAGGGGGAGCAGGAGGUUAUGGGUAAUUAGAUUCCAAUGAUGGAGGAGGGGGAGCAAGGGGUUAUGGGUAAUUAGAUUCCAAUGAUGGAGGAGGAGGAGCAGGAGGUUGGGGUUAUGGGUAAUUAGAUUCCAAUGAUGGAGGAGGGGGAGCAGGGGGGUUAUGGGUAAUUAGAUUCCAAUGAUGGAGGAGGGGGAGCAGGGGGUUAUGGGUAAUUAGAUUCCAAUGAUGGAGGAGGAGGAGCAGGGGGUUAUGGGUAAUUAGAUUUCAAUGAUGGAGGAGGAGGAGCAGGGGGUUAUGGGUAAUUAGAUUCUAAUGAUGGAGGAGGGGGAGCAGGGGGUUAUGGGUAAUUAGAUUCCAAUGAUGGAGGAGGGGGAGCAGGGGGUUAUGGGUAAUUAGAUUCCAAUGAUGGAGGAGGGGCAGCAGGGGAGUUAUGGGUAAUUAGAUUCCAAUGAUGGAGGAGGAGGAGCAGGGGGGUUAUGGGUAAUUAGAUUCCAAUGAUGGAGGAAGGGGAGCAGGAGGUUAUGGGUAAUUAGAUUCCAAUGAUGGAGGAGGGGGAGCAAGGGGUUAUGGGUAAUUAGAUUCCAAUGAUGGAGGAGGAGGAGCAGGAGGUUGGGGUUAUGGGUAAUUAGAUUCCAAUGAUGGAGGAGGAGGAGCAGGGGGGUUAUGGGUAAUUAGAUUCCAAUGAUGGAGGAAGGGGAGCAGGAGGUUAUGGGUAAUUAGAUUCCAAUGAUGGAGGAGGGGGAGCAAGGGGUUAUGGGUAAUUAGAUUCCAAUGAUGGAGGAGGAGGAGCAGGAGGUUGGGGUUAUGGGUAAUUAGAUUCCAAUGAUGGAGGAGGGGGAGCAGGGGGUUAUGGGUAAUUAGAUUGCAAUGAUGGAGGAGGGGGAGCAGAGGGUUAUGGGGGGUAAUUAGAUUCCAAUGAUGGAGGAGGAGGAGCAGAGGGUUAUGGGUAAUUAGAUUCCAAUGAUGGAGGAGGAGGAGCAGGGGGUUAUGGGUAAUUAGAUUCCAAUGAUGGAGGAGGAGGAGCAGGGGGUUAUGGGUAAUUAGAUUCCAAUGAUGGAGGAGGGGGAGCAGGGGGUUAUGGG
Molecule: long non-coding RNA, 1342 nt
Filed under: Pelobates cultripes (western spadefoot toad)
Lineage: Eukaryota; Metazoa; Chordata; Amphibia; Anura; Pelobatidae
Source: RNAcentral